UAACUGCCUGUGCACCAGUUAGCUAUAUAAGGCCGUGCCUCAGUACUUACUGCAGGGCCCAGUACUUAGAAGAUUCUAAAUAAAAGCCUACUGAGUGAAUGAAUAUAUUGAAUAACUGAACUGAUGUUGCUUGGAAAUAAGACCACUUUGACCGUUUCAAGUAGCAGAUAUUGCAAGGUGGCACCAUCUUAUCCUCUAACUCUUCUACUGAAAUAAAGCAGGAAUUAUAGAUCAAGCUUUUCUUCUUUUGUGGGUGGGGGAAAACCCAGGAAUGAUUCAAAUAAUUAUUAAUAGUUGGCCUGAAGUGGUUUUGUAUUUACUUCAGUACAAGAGUAAUGGACCCACAGUUGCAACAUGGCAGCAGAAUGCUUCCGUAUGAACGAUUAGAUAACACUGAGAUAUGUUCCUCCUUUGCCUAAAAUGACAUUAUGGAUUGCUGCUUCUUUCGCUUAGAUGUUAGGAGCGAGAUGAUCACUGUCACGGAAACCCUGUGUACUACUUCUCCACUGUUACAAGGGUUCCUUUUAAAGUUUCCUCAGUGUGAACCCCUGGGUAAAGACCAUCCUCCAUCACCGUGAGCCCUAUCCAAGAGUCAGACCUGAGCCAAUUUAGACUGUAGACCAACGGAAGGAACAAGUUAAAGUCCGAUCUGCAAAGCAGUUCUCCAGUUCCCAACCACAUACGUGUUGAAGGAGCUUACAAAAAGCAACUUCUGAACACCUACGGCACGAGUGACAACCGAGUAGAUGUUACUUCCCGUGUUUCUUUACUGCUUUUGCCUGACCUCCCACAGGUGCUUUUGUUACCUCAUUCUCAAUUCCGAGCUUUCUUCCUGCUCGGGUAGCUCAACAACAGAGACUGUCAAUCCGGUUGAUUAUUUUAUGUGUCCGCUGUGUUGUUGUAUGAACCUGAAACAUGCACUGGGGCAGUUUGUAAUGAUUCCCAGGAAUCGACUGUAUAUAUCCCUUCAACUCUCACUUGGUGGCAUUGAGUUUUUACAUUAGAGAAAUCGGUGAAGGCUACAGAUUGGAGCCUUUCCUCCAGUUGUUAAAUAUUUACUAGCAUAUCACUUAAUUAACAUAUUAACAUUAUUUCCUCUCCCCUUGACCAAAGGAGUGAUGGUUCUACCUUAAUUCAAAGAAUGACUCACCAACAAAGACUUUGAAGCCACAUAUUUACAAAGCAAAUACCUUCCCCUCAUUUUCCUGCUGAAACUCUUUUUCUUUCUUUUUCUUGUACCAGGGAUUGAACUCAGGACCUUGCACUUGUGAGGCUGGCAGCAGAACAAUUGAGCUAAAUCCCUAGCCCUAUACUCGGGUUUUUCCACAGCUUUCAGGCCAUAGCUCUAUUCUUAACAACACACCCCACAGUUCGUUACAACAAGCUAAAAUCAAAUUAGAAUGACUGAGCAAUUUUUGGUUAAUUUAUUUCAACCAGUUAAGAGAUAACAGGAUGAUCUUAAUUCCCCUAAUCAAAAGACACUGGCAGACUCAGCUGGAGUGGCUCCCACCAUGCAAUCAGCCAUCGGAGGAUCAGUGUGGCCUCUGCAUACUCCUGUACUGCUGACAGCAUGGCCGAGUCUAGGCUUCUACAUGGUGACCAGGGGAACAGCAGUGUCCCAGUCCUCAGAACAGGCAAGGCUGCCUCUCUUCACCUGUGCUCACUGUCCUGGAAGCAACUCCUCUGUGGCUCCAUGGUGGAAACCCUCAAAUGGACAUGCGAGGAGAUGAGCAGAGAGGAGCUGUGUACCAUGGAGGACUGUGGGAUAAAGUCACGGCUCUGCUCAACUAACCCCACCCUCACCCAGUCAGGAGGCUGUGGUCUGAGGGCUCCAAGGUGCUGGGCACUCCUCUCUGGUCUUAGGGGAGCCCCUCCUGCUGCUCCUCCAUCUUCCUCCCACUGAAUCCUAGCUCUGGACUCAAGCACAGCCUUCUGUGCUGUGCACCCUCCUCCCUCCCUCCCACAGGAAACACAGGUGUCCUGGACACCCUUUUCCCUCUAGCUCCCUUGAGGGGGCUGCAGGGUGACUCACCAUGGCUUCUUCCCAUGUGGCUGGUCUGCCAUGGGUAGGACGUCCACAUCCACAGUCGCUCUCAUGGCUUUUUACUAAAACGGCAAGGACUCAUAUGAAAUGGACACUCGUGUGAAAAUAUACCAGGCAUUAUUGUUGGCUGUGGUCACCACCACCCUAUGCUACAGGAGACCCGACAGCAAGUCCUCAUGUCUAUCUGAGACUCUUCCCUCUGGCCACAACUCCUCCAUCCCUCUCCCCUCUCCGCCUCACUUGAGUUCUACCCUGACCAUUAAAGGUGACAUCAUCAGGAUACAGCUCACUCAGAAAGCACCCGGACCACCCAGCCUCCUUGAGGGUUGAGGGUUCUCUGGGAUUCUGCUGGGUGCUACUUAUAAUGGGGCCACUGCGUUUGGCGGUGCCCACAGGGUGGCAGGCAGCAGCAGCACAGGGCCCAUAGGCAGCCUGUGAUGCUCCUCUUGAGAGCCUUCCAGUAUCGGAUGCCUGCUGUUGGCAGGGGCAGAGGUGGUUCUGGAGCGAGAGCGCAGAGCUCCAAGGCCUGGCUGGCGGGACACACUGGAAAUGGCAGGGUCAGGCUGGCAGGAUACGCUGGGAGUGGCAGGGCCAGGGUGGGGGGACAGGCUGGGAGCGGCAGGGACAGGGUUGGGGGACCGUCUGGGAGCAGCAGGGCCAGGCUGGGGGGACGGGCUGGGAGUUGGGAUCCUCUGGGUGGUCAUGGGUGGCUGGGAGCCUCUGCCACCCUGUUCUCCUCGAGGUUUCAGUCCAGGGAAUAAGCAGCCAGUACAGGGGACAGGCUCGCUGGCCAUUCCAAGGAUGUGAGGUGAGAGUGCAGGACUUUUCGGAUACCAUGAUCACUUUCUGUGCAAUCUCUUGCUUAGGCCCCUGGCAGGCCUGGCUCUGUAUCAACAGGAAGGUUGCCAUGCCGUGAUUAUAGUCCUUCUUUCUCAGAGUGUCCAUCACCGUUAGAAGGUCAAAACCCAUCCCGGACAUAUGGCUUAGAAUUGCUCUUUGCGAGCACAGGGAGCGGCUUCGGAGGUCGGGGCAGCCGGACACCCUGGAUCCACUGGUGCUCCAGCACCUUCUGUGCUGUUGGCUGCAUGCUGUGGUCCCGGGUUGUGAGCUUUCUGAUGAAGUGUUUGGUAUUUAGAGAUGAAGUCCGGGUAAGAGAUAAGACAAUGCCAUAAAUGAUAAUCUCCAUUAUCUUGGAUAGAUCCCCGUGACAGAGACGUGUCCCAGUGACCAUCUCGUACAGGAUCACACCCAUUGCCCAGCUAUCGAGGGAAGGGCCUUCAUGUUCUGGGACAAAGUUCUUUCUGGGGCAUAGUAUACCCGCGUGCCACCAACCACAGACGCCUCCUGCCCGUGUGGCGUUGGCCAACAAAGCUCUGGCACCAGCAGGGCCCUGGAUUUGUGCAGAGCUGGGCAGAGCUAGAGCCAUGGGGAGCCUGGGCCCCAGAGGGACAGAUCGGGGUACAGGUGAGCAGGGGAGGGGAGGGGAAGAGCAGGGGGAGAAGGGGAGGGGGCGGGAGGAGGCAGGCAGUAAACGAAGCAGAAGCUGUCUUUAGACUUUGGAGGAGAACAGUGUGUUCCCCUAGCGAUCUGGCCGUUCUCAGGCCCUCAGGGACUUUCUUUUUCCUCGCCUGGGGAUUGCACCGAACUGUUGCCUUGGCCAGGACCCAGGCUGUGGUCAUGGGACCAGUCGGGGCCCAGGAGUCUACAGGCCAGGGCUUGCACCCUGGCCUGGACUCAGUUGGCCCAUCUGUAGGUGCGGCUGAGAGACCCAGGAUAUAGGGUGCAUGAGUAGCAUCUCGUUAAUUCUGCCGCUGUAAGGAUCAGGGGAAGUGGAGACCCCCGCAGCAGGUCCCACCCUCCUGCGAGGCACCACAGCACCAGCCGAAGGUUAAAGGACAGGCAGAGGGAGACAUGGUGACGCUGAGUCAGGUCCUGGACAGUGCUGCUGAUGGCAGCAAAGACAGAGCCCCCCAAGCACAUCUGGCAUUUACUGAAUACAAUCACAAGAAGGAAUCGGAAGCUGGGGAGCUGUAAAUUCACCUAGUGAAUUACUGCCCAACACCUGGCGUGGGGCGCCAGACAGGGCUGUGAGGGGGUUGCACUGCUUAUCUUGGGAGGAUGGAAGAGACCAGUACUGGGACCAGGUGCAAUUAGCAAGCGACCCACAAGGUCAGUGAGAA
This is a long non-coding RNA of Fukomys damarensis (Damara mole-rat), 4224 nucleotides long. RefSeq lists it as uncharacterized. The transcript is spliced from 2 exons. The record is from RefSeq and is a predicted model, not a curated record. NCBI's taxonomy places the organism in Eukaryota, Metazoa, Chordata, Mammalia, Rodentia, Bathyergidae.